Molecule: ribosomal RNA, 209 nt
Filed under: uncultured bacterium
Lineage: Bacteria
Description: partial 16S ribosomal RNA
Rfam family: Bacterial small subunit ribosomal RNA
Source: RNAcentral
UUCAGAUUGCAGUCUGCAACUCGACUGCAUGAAGUCGGAAUCGCUAGUAAUCGCGGAUCAGCAUGCCGCGGUGAAUACGUUCCCGGGCCUUGUACACACCGCCCGUCACACCAUGAGAGUCGGGAACACCCGAAGUCCGUAGCCUAACCGCAAGGGGGGCGCGGCCGAAGGUGGGUUCGAUAAUUGGGGUGAAGUCGUAACAAGGUAGC